Molecule: ribosomal RNA, 1599 nt
Filed under: Triticum aestivum (bread wheat)
Lineage: Eukaryota; Viridiplantae; Streptophyta; Magnoliopsida; Poales; Poaceae
Description: partial small subunit ribosomal RNA
Source: RNAcentral
AUGGGAAGAACAUGUGUGUUUGUUCAUCAUGGGGACAAAGACGCCUUCUUGAAAGGCAAUAUUGAACCGGGCCCGGAUGAGCUUGACAUGGUGUUUGAUAGUAGUCCUAGCUAUGCGGAGAUCUUGCAACAAGUGAGGAAAGAUUUGAAUUGGAUGGACCCUAGUGAUAUCAUUGAGUUUGAGGGAAGGCAUAAUGUAGGUUUUGGAAUGCACAUCCGUUGGAAGACAAUGUGUGUCAACUCAGAGCAACGUUGGGUUGCAUACAAGGAAACGGUGGCCGAAUCACUUGACAAGGCUCUUGAGUUAUUUGCAACGAACAAGGUUGAUUCAAGUUUGCAUUUGGACUUGAACCGGAAAUCCUCCCCUUUGGUUGCUAGUAGCCCCCCACCCUUGAAGCGAGAUGAAAUUGUUGAACCUCUUUUGACCCAAGAAGUGAGGCCAAUAUUGAGCCUGUUUACAAACAACCAAGAUGAAGCUUUGCAGGAGGACAAUGAUGAGUAUGCGGACGAUGACAAUGAAGUUGAUCUCCAUGACAACAAUGUGGGUGAUCUCGACAAAUAUCAUUUGCAAGAGACAAUGGACCAUUCCAUCCUUUUUUCCCGUGCAUAUGCAUCGGAUUCGGAUGACGAAGGUCCCGAUGAACAAGUUGAUGAGGAGGGGUUCACGGUGAAGGAGGCCGAAACUUUCGAGAAGGUAUUCGGUCGGGAUCACAAGACACCAUUGUUCAAGGAUGUUAGUCUCGCGGAUGAAGCUGUUGUGGAUGGUGGCAAAUCUAUAUCUCUUGGGGUUAGGCCAAGGUCUCACCAUGAUUUGGGAGACGACAAAAACCGGAUUGCUAAAGGGUCUAAGUUUGAAACCUUCUUGGAAUUGAAGAUGUGGCUCGACAACUACUCAGUUACGCAUUAUCGUCCACACAAGGUGGUGCACUCGAACGUCAAUGUGCGCUACACGGUUGCAUGUGCAUAUGAAGAUGAAAUAUGUCCGUGGAUUGUGCGUGCAAGACCAUGGAAAGGAGGUCCCACUUGGCACGUAGUGAGUUGUGUGCCAACUCACAUGUGCCGAGGCAAAAGGGUGGAUGGCAAGAUUGUGUCCCAAGACCACAGACAACUCACGUCCGAGUUCAUCGCUUACAGGCUCUUGAACUCAAUAUCCACACUUCCAACAAUGAGCGUCCAACAUGUCAUUGACCUUGUGAAAGCCAUCUUUCAUUACAAGGUGAAGUACGGCAAGGCACGGAAGGUGAAGCAAGCCGCAUUUAAGAUGGUGUAUGGUACUUGGGAGCAAGCAUACGACGGAAUCCCUAGGUUGUUGUUAGCCAUGGCCGCCGCAAACUCGGGCAUGGUUCAUGUGGUCGAGCCUCAUGGGCACCAAACAACGGAUCAUGAAGGAAGGAAAGUCCGAGUAUUUGGCCGUGCAUUUUGGGCGUUCGGGCAAUGCGUGAGGGCUUUCGAACACUGUAGGCCGGUCAUCGCCAUUGAUGGCACGUUCUUGACCGGACAAUACAAGGGCACCUUGUUGGUUGCGAUAGCAAGUGAUGCCAAUAACCGGGUGUUGCCAUUGGCAUUUUCUUUGGUUGAGGCGGAGAACAAUGACAACUGA